RNAcentral lists this ribosomal RNA (478 nucleotides) under uncultured bacterium. Its description in RNAcentral is "partial 16S ribosomal RNA". It matches the Rfam family "Bacterial small subunit ribosomal RNA", at positions 28 to 507 of the family's 1533-position model. The record is from RNAcentral.
GAUGAACGCUGGCGGCGUGCUUAACACAUGCAAGUCGAACGAGAAUUUGCGACGGACCCCUUCGGUCGGAAGACUUUGUUUCGAUUGUCGGACGGUUGAGUACCCCUUGGUUAGCCUUCCUCCUACAGGAGGAUAACUGUUGCUAACUACUGUUAAUACCGCCUAAGACCACGGCACCGCAUGUUUCGGUGGUAAAAACUCCGGUGGUAUGAUAUGGACCCGCGUUCGAUUAGCUAGUUGGCGGGGUAACGGCCCACCAAAGCGACGAUCGAGAGGCGGAGUGAGAGGAUGAACAGCGACACUGGGACAGAGACAAGGCCCAAACGCCUAGGAGAGGCAGGAGUGGGGAAAAAUGCAGAAUGGGGGAAAUCCUGAUGCAGCGAGGGAGGGUGAGUGAAGAAGGAGUUGGGUAUGUAAAGCUGUAGCAGAAGGGAAGAAAAUGACGGUACCUGAGGAAGAAGCCCCGGCUAACUACGUG